This 483-nucleotide ribosomal RNA is filed under the name uncultured bacterium. RNAcentral's name for it is "bacterial SSU rRNA". It matches the Rfam family "Bacterial small subunit ribosomal RNA", at positions 28 to 508 of the family's 1533-position model. The record is from RNAcentral.
GACGAACGCUGGCGGCGUGCCUAACACAUGCAAGUCGAACGGGACUUAGUGGAAUGCGGCUUCGGCCAAAGGAAACUAAGUUUAGUGGCGAACGGGUGAGUAACGCGUGAGGAACCUGCCUUUCAGUGGGGGACAACAGUUGGAAACGACUGCUAAUACCGCAUAACAUAUUUGGAUCGCAUGAUCUGAAUAUCAAAGCUUUAUGUGCUGAAAGAUGGCCUCGCGUCUGAUUAGAUAGUUGGUGGGGUAACGGCCCACCAAGUCGACGAUCAGUAGCCGGUCUGAGAGGAUGAACGGCCACAUUGGGACUGAGAUACGGCCCAGACUCCUACGGGAGGCAGCAGUGGGGAAUAUUGGGCAAUGGGGGAAACCCUGACCCAGCAACGCCGCGUCGAAGGAAGAAGGCUUUCGGGUUGUAAACUUCUUUUACCAGGGACGAAGAACGUGACGGUACCUGGAGAAAAGCAACGGCUAACUACGUGA